GUGCCAGCAGCCGCGGUAAUACCGGCAGCACGAGUGAUGGCCGAUAUUAUUGGGCCUAAAGCGUCCGUAGCUGGCCGGACAAGUCCGUUGGGAAAUCCACGUGCCUAACGGGUGGGCGUCCAGCGGAAACUGUCCGGCUUGGGGCCGACCGACCCGAAGGGUACGUCCGGGGUAGGAGUGAAAUCCUGUAAUCCUGGACGGACCGCCGGUGGCGAAAGCGCCUCGGGAGGACGGACCCGACGGUGAGGGACGAAAGCCAGGGUCUCGAACCGGAUUAGAAACCCGAGUAGUCC
RNAcentral lists this ribosomal RNA (293 nucleotides) under uncultured bacterium. RNAcentral describes it as "partial 16S ribosomal RNA". It matches the Rfam family "Archaeal small subunit ribosomal RNA", at positions 455 to 747 of the family's 1478-position model. The record is from RNAcentral.